GGUUCAUUUAUACGACCUGCUCCCUACCAACAUUCCUAGACCCAUUAAUAUUCCAUUCUUACUAACUAUGGUUCACACUCCCUUGAGUCGCAACCGUCACCAUCAACCGGUCAUUUGUCAAAUAGAUCUAUACUCCGUCUAUCUCUCUGUUCUUUGCUACUUAAUCUUUUAAUCUUCCUUUUUUCGUUUUCAAUUACCUUCAACCUUGACGUUGGCGAAAUCAUCGAAAUUAAACGAUGGGGUCCACUAGCAACUAAAAGAAGAA
This is a long non-coding RNA of Papilio xuthus (Asian swallowtail), 265 nucleotides long. RefSeq lists it as uncharacterized. The transcript has 2 exons. The record is from RefSeq and is a predicted model, not a curated record. Lineage: Eukaryota; Metazoa; Arthropoda; Insecta; Lepidoptera; Papilionidae.